Molecule: long non-coding RNA, 396 nt
Filed under: Solanum tuberosum (potato)
Lineage: Eukaryota; Viridiplantae; Streptophyta; Magnoliopsida; Solanales; Solanaceae
Description: long non-coding RNA (STUB_LNC005750)
Source: RNAcentral
UCUGCUAAUUUUGGUAUGUAUUCUCUUACUUGAUUUACUAGUCCUAGAAAUGAUUAUAAUUUCUUUUUUGUAUCUAGUUGUUCAUUUGAGUUAAUUAUUUUUUGUACUAUGUGUGUUUGCAUUUUUAUUCCAUUUUUAUCUAUUUGUAUUCCUAAAAAUUCUAUUUGCUUUUUCAUUAUGUCUGCUUUCUUUUUACUUAGACUUAUGCCUGAAUAUUCUAUAAUAUGUAUAAAUUUUUCUAAUAAUCUUAUAUGUUCAUCUUGUGUUUUGGAAUAUAGUAAUAUAUCAUCAAUAUAUAUUUUUCUAAUAAUUUUAUAUGUUCAUCUUGUGUUUUGGAAUAUAGUAAUAUAUCAUCAAUAUAUACUACACAAUUUUCUAAUUGUUUAAAAUAGUUAU